This 502-nucleotide ribosomal RNA is filed under the name uncultured bacterium. RNAcentral's name for it is "partial 16S ribosomal RNA". It matches the Rfam family "Bacterial small subunit ribosomal RNA", at positions 30 to 523 of the family's 1533-position model. The record is from RNAcentral.
AUUGAACGCUGGCGGAAUGCUUUACACAUGCAAGUCGAACGGCAGCAUAGGUGCUUGCACCUGAUGGCGAGUGGCGAACGGGUGAGUAAUACAUCGGACCGUGCCCAGUCGUGGGGGAUAACGUAGCGAAAGUUACGCUAAUACCGCAUACGAUCUAAGGAUGAAAGCGGGGGACCGUAAGGCCUCGCGCGAUCGGAGCGGCCGAUGUCAGCUGAGGUAGUUGGUGAGGUAAAGGCUCACCAAGCCGACGAUCUGUAGCUGGUCUGAGAGGACGACCAGCCACACUGGGACUGAGACACGGCCCAGACUCCUACGGGAGGCAGCAGUGGGGAAUUUUGGACAAUGGACGCAAGUCUGAUCCAGCCAUUCCGCGUGCAGGACGAAGGCCUUCGGGUUGUAAACUGCUUUCGUACGGAACGAAAAAGCUCUUACUAAUACUAGGAGUCCAUGACGGUACCGUAAGAAUAAGCACCGGCUAACUACGUGCCAGCCGCCGCCGUAA